RNAcentral lists this non-coding RNA (349 nucleotides) under Trebouxia sp. TZW2008. The record is from RNAcentral. Lineage: Eukaryota; Viridiplantae; Chlorophyta; Trebouxiophyceae; Trebouxiales; Trebouxiaceae.
CAUGACACCCUGACAGGCUGUCACCUCGCCAAGGUUGCUCAAAGUAGCACCAAGUAACCCUAAAUAUAGUCAUGCACGCGCCAGACUUUGGCGGCAAAACCAAAGAGGGGGUCAUUUGCCAGGGUUUCCCUCCUCAACCAAACAACCAAAUCCUCAAGUGGAGUCUGAAAGGGUUGUCAGGUGUCAGUGGUUGAAGCACCAAGUCUCACCGAGGGCAGAUAGAGCUUACUGUGUCACAAUGCAGUAUGAGUGGUUGGUCCAUGAUCUCUAUCUAUUCCGGGUGCAGGCUCAAUAUGGAUGCUGCUAUUUGCUUCUGAGGCCUUCAAUACCUUUUGCGUGAUACCUUUUU